This 301-nucleotide ribosomal RNA is filed under the name uncultured bacterium. Its description in RNAcentral is "partial 16S ribosomal RNA". It matches the Rfam family "Bacterial small subunit ribosomal RNA", at positions 509 to 807 of the family's 1533-position model. The record is from RNAcentral.
CAGCAGCCACGGUAAUACGUAGGGUCCGAGCGUUGUCCGGAAUUAUUGGGCGUAAAGGGCUCGUAGGCGGUUUGUUGCGUCGGGAGUGAAAACCCAGGGCUUAACUUUGGGCUUGCUUUCGAUACGGGCAGACUUGAGGCAUUGAGGGGAGAACGGAAUUCCUGGUGUAGCGGUGAAAUGCGCAGAUAUCAGGAGGAACACCGGUGGCGAAGGCGGUUCUCUGGCAAUGUUCUGACGCUGAGGUGCGAAAGCGUGGGGAGCAAACAGGAUUAGAGACCCGUGUAGUCCCUGUCUCUUAUAC